Ceratina calcarata is the source of this 476-nucleotide long non-coding RNA. RefSeq lists it as uncharacterized. NCBI's taxonomy places the organism in Eukaryota, Metazoa, Arthropoda, Insecta, Hymenoptera, Apidae. The record is from RefSeq and is a predicted model, not a curated record. The transcript is spliced from 3 exons.
ACACAUUGUCAGUAUAGAGAUAAUACAAAUUGUCAUAAAACAAGAGUAAUAGACAAUAAAGAACUGAAAUUUUUGUACACGUUGAGAGCAAUGGAUGUCAUAGCUACUCGGCAGACCUCAUUCUAAUUUCUUCUAAUUCAUCAUGGAGACCAGUCAGAAGCAAGGGAAUAAUCCUGUGCCACCAACUGUACCUGUCUCGCAGUUUUAAGAGCCAAGAACCAGCUACUUCAAUCACAGCUAUAAAUAAAAGUUGUUAAGUGAAAAUUAAAUAAGUAUUGCAUGCUUUCUAUAAUAAAACAAUCAACUGUUGAUUUAGAUAAAAUCAUUAGACGAAGAGAAUUAAAGUGAAGAGCUCACACUUUAAUUUAAGCCAAGUUCACAGGCGAUAUGGCUAUAGUGGCAGAGGAUGCUCUAGGAUUGAGCGGAAUAUUGAGAUCAUUAACAAAAUACAUGGUGUUCAGAGUUGUUGUUUAUUC